This 202-nucleotide unclassified non-coding RNA is filed under the name soil metagenome. RNAcentral describes it as "partial contains 5.8S ribosomal RNA, internal transcribed spacer 2, and large subunit ribosomal RNA". The record is from RNAcentral.
AACAUCGCGCACCUGCGGGAACCUGCGGAAGGAUCAUUACUGAGACUUAAUCUCAACCCUUGUGAACUAUACCUAGUGUUGCUUCGGCAGGUUUUCCCUGGGAGGGAAGCAGCCUUCGGGCAGCCUGCCAGAGGCAAUUAACUCUUAUUUUUAAUGAAUUCUGAGUACUUUUCAAUAAGAAAAAACUUUUAACAACGGAUCU